Arachis stenosperma is the source of this 2713-nucleotide long non-coding RNA. RefSeq lists it as uncharacterized. Lineage: Eukaryota; Viridiplantae; Streptophyta; Magnoliopsida; Fabales; Fabaceae. The transcript is spliced from 4 exons. The record is from RefSeq and is a predicted model, not a curated record.
CACCAACCCAAGAUUCUCCUAAACGGCGAAACCCUAUUAGAGCCACCAUCACCAUCUCCCCUUUCAUUCUGCUCUUCUCCUCACGUCGCCAGAAGCUAAGGUCGGUUCGGGGCUGUUGUUGGCGUCGCCGUUUCUCUGUCCGAGCUCUCUGUCGCUGCUUCUUUGCUCUUCACCGUUGGUCGUUGCCGCUUCUCCACUCCUCGCCGUGGGUCGUCACUGCUUCUCCCCUCCUCGUCGUUUUUGGAUGUCGCCCCUUCUCGUCUCCCCGCCAUUCUUGUCGUCGCUUCUCUGUUUCACGUUACCAAAAUUCCCAAUUUGAAUUUCUCUAUCUCGCUGGCUCUAUGCUGUCUUUUCCUCUCCUUCAUUAAAACGUAAAACAUCCCCUUUAUCCUCUUCAAUAAUGUUCAAUUUGUUGUAAUUGUAUUACAUUGUUUUCUUCUUUAUUUUGUUCUGAAUAUACGUAUGAUAAAUUAUUGAUGAUUCUGCUGAGUUUUGAGAUAUGUUUUAUUUGAAUUCAGUCAAUUGAUGUUGAAUUAAUUCUGCUAAGAUUGAGUUAUAAAUUUACUUUUUUUUAGUUUAAUUUAUUAAUUAUGCUGAGAUUAAUAUUGAAUUAAUUCUACUGAGAUUGGGUUAUAAAUCCAAUCUGUUUUUCUUGUUAUUUUGCUGUCAUUGAUUCAAAAGAGAAACAUUGCUACAAUUCUGCAUUGGAUUUACUAUAUGGCUUUAAAAUAAGGGUUGGAUGAAGUUCAGACAAGGAGAUAAUUUAUUCAUAGGAAAAGAGAAUGAAGUUAAGAAGUAAAGAACAAAAAGAUUACCUAAUUUAUGAAAAUGGAAAAUUCAGGAAUGGAAACCUAAUUUAUAAAGGUUAUUCAUGCUUUUAUAUUGUGUUUUUUUUUUUGUUUAGUUAAUUUAAUUGUCAGUUUUUGUGUAUUCUGAGCUUCUUACUGUGUUGUGGAAUUGCUUCUUCUUGUUCAAAUUGAAGACUAUACUGAUUUCUUUUUCUCCCUGCACCAUACUAAAAUUUGUGGCCUCAAAUUUAGGUAGCCUAUAAUGGAUCAUUAUCUUCUAUUAUAUCUGGAACUGAUAUUGUUUGACCAAGCUUAGAAGUUGCUAAUGUGUUAUAUAUACAUGAAGAUUGAGAAACUUAAAUGAAAGAACCAAGCUUCGACCAAUUUUAAUUCAUACAAUGCUUUAAUUGCUCUGUACCUUAUCUCACAAUAUAUGCCACUUUGAAUUUUUAAUAAUUUUAUGUUAUAUUUGACACUACCAGCCAUUGACUAAGGAGACCUACCCUGUGAUGAUGCAUUUGGGAUUUUCGAAACAGGUGCAAUUGCAAUAGGUGUAGGAGCAAUUGCUGCAUUUGAAACAAUAAUAAUUAGUUGGUGUACAAAUGCAUUGUAAAUUCAUUAAGUCUAUCACUAUUUUUUCUUUUUGGAAAAUUCUAUGGUGUGAAUUGAAUAAAAUGUCCACAGUACGGAUCAUGUGUGGUUUGCUUCCUUGGAUAGCAAUUCUUGUUUUGCUUGAUCAAUUUUCAUUUGGCCAACCCAAGCUGAAUUUUAUAUGCAAACUUUUCUGUUUCAUUUUUUUUGUUAAAUGAGAGGAAAUUGCAAAGAGUUAUAAAGAGAAUGAUGGAGGAGAAUGAAGAAGGUUUGCAAAUGAGAAAGAGAAUCAAACAGUUGAGUGAUGCUGCUGCUGCUGCACUCACUCAAAAUGGGUACAGCAUCUGUGGUAUUAGCAGGAUUGCUUUCUACCUUAAAAUUAGUUAGGGGAACCUUAGCUGACGGCUGACCAUACCUUCUUAUUUUUGGGUGCUGGAGAGGAUCUCCACUAUGGUUGAGGGAGAAACUUCCCACUUAGAACUGAACCAAACAACUCUAGUGCUCAGAGUCUCGGUUACAUAGAUGAUCAUAAGCAAAGGAGAGUGGAAAGAAUCGGAUUUUUGGACGGUACCAUCAUGUAUUCAACUUUUCAAACAGAUUGUAAGGUGGUGCAAGUACCAAACAUGAACCAGAAAUUAAUAGACCACAUGUGCCAACGAUUUGAUCUGUCGUCGGGAAAAUUGUAUGUCCGGAUUCUUCCCACUAUAAAGCGUUUUAAAGACGCAGAUUAUAUAUACUUCUGUUAUAAGAAAUACGACGCCGACUUUUUCAGUUUACAUGAGGCUGGGCAAAAAAAUUUUGUGGCACUCAAGAAGGUUUGCCGUGGAUUUAUUACAGGACUGGUGAAUCUUCACCAGUCAGGUAAGGUCCACGGUAAUAUUACUCGUUACGAUUUAGUAACGAGUAAUGGCGAUGGGUAUCUAGGAGGAGGAUUUGGACCGUCUUUUUCAGAAACUUAUAUUACAGAUAGAUGGGGAGUUCCAAGAAGGAUAUGUUUGACCUUGUAAAAGCGCUUUCAAAGACAAAGAUCUUCUCAACUAUCCUGAUGAUAAUCUUGGAAUGUUCAUCAAUUAUUUGAAGAACAACAAUAUACUGAACCCAAUAACAUUCCAUCCAUAUGUUUUAGUUUCAAUGGAAGUUCGUAGUCUUUAUGUUACAGUUGAAGAAGAUUUUAGACAAAUGUGCCCUGUCACUUUGAACGCGAGAUUCAAGACCCUUAGAUGCGUUAGGAAUUAUCGAACAAAUGGCUGGCAUAGUGUUGUAAUGAGCUCGGGCGACCCAAUUCUGCUUACAGUUUUUAUGCGUCCAAAUUCAAAUUAUCGAGAUGAUGAUAG